AGUGAACGCUGGCGGUAGGCCUAACACAUGCAAGUCGAACGGCAGCACAGUAAGAGCUUGCUCUUACGGGUGGCGCGUGGCGGACGGGUGAGGAAUACAUCGGAAUCUACUUUUUCGUGGGGGAUAACGUAGGGAAACUUACGCUAAUACCGCAUACGACCUACGGGUGAAAGCAGGGGAUCUUCGGACCUUGCGCGAUUGAAUGAGCCGAUGUCGGAUUAGCUAGUUGGCGGGGUAAAGGCCCACCAAGGCGACGAUCCGUAGCUGGUCUGAGAGGAUGAUCAGCCACACUGGAACUGAGACACGGUCCAGACUCCUACGGGAGGCAGCAGUGGGGAAUAUUGGACAAUGGGCGCAAGCCUGAUCCAGCCAUACCGCGUGGGUGAAGAAGGCCUUCGGGUUGUAAAGCCCUUUUGUUGGGAAAGAAAAGCAGCAGGUUAAUACCCCGCUGUUCUGACGGUACCCAAAGAAUAAGCACCGGCUAACUUCG
This 490-nucleotide ribosomal RNA is filed under the name uncultured bacterium. RNAcentral describes it as "partial 16S ribosomal RNA". It matches the Rfam family "Bacterial small subunit ribosomal RNA", at positions 29 to 505 of the family's 1533-position model. The record is from RNAcentral.